This 508-nucleotide ribosomal RNA is filed under the name uncultured bacterium. RNAcentral describes it as "partial 16S ribosomal RNA". It matches the Rfam family "Bacterial small subunit ribosomal RNA", at positions 28 to 507 of the family's 1533-position model. The record is from RNAcentral.
GACGAACGCUGGCGGCGUGCUUAACACAUGCAAGUCGAACGGGCCUUGUCCCCUUUUUUUUUGGGGGUGGGGUUAGUGGCGAACGGGUGAGUAACACGUGAGUAACCUGCCCCUCACUUCUGGAUAACCGCUUGAAAGGGUGGCUAAUACGGGGUGUUCUGGCCUGCUCGCAUGGGUGGGUUUGGAAAGAUUCGACCGGUUUUGGUGGUUUUGGUGGGGGAUGGGCUCGCGGCCUCUCAGCUUGUUGGUGGGGUGAUGGCCUGCCAAGGCUUUGACGGGUAGCCGGGCUGAGAGGGUGGGCGGUCACACUGGGACGGAGACACGGCCCAGACUCCUACGGGAGGCAGCAGUGGGGAAUAUUGCACAAGGGGCGCAAGCCUGAUGCAGCGACGCCGCGUGAGGGAUGGAGGCCUUCGGGUUGUGAACCUCUUUCGCCAGUGAAGAAGGUCCUGCUCUUUGUGGCGGGGUUGACGGUAGCUGGGUUAAUGAAGCGCCGGCUAACUACGUG